RNAcentral lists this unclassified non-coding RNA (379 nucleotides) under uncultured Gammaproteobacteria bacterium. Its description in RNAcentral is "contains 16S-23S intergenic spacer region". The record is from RNAcentral. Lineage: Bacteria; Pseudomonadati; Pseudomonadota; Gammaproteobacteria.
UCCGGUUCUUCACCAGCAGUCUCCUUAGAGUCCCCACCAUGACGUGAUGGCAACUAAGGAUAAGGGUUGCGCUCGUUACGGGACUUAACCCAACAUCUCACAACACGAGCUGACGACAGCCAUGCAGCACCUGUCUCUAGGUUCCUUUCGGCACUUCCGCAUCUCUGCAGAAUCCCUAGGAUGUCAAGGGUAGGUAAGGUUCUUCGCGUUGCAUCGAAUUAAACCACAUGCUCCACCGCUUGUGCGGGCCCCCGUCAAUUCCUUUGAGUUUUAAUCUUGCGACCGUACUCCCCAGGCGGAAGACUUAUCGCGUUAGCUUCGAUACUAAUAGGUCUAGGCCUACCAACAUCCAGUCUUCAUCGUUUACAGCGUGGACUAC